AAAUUGAAGAGUUUGAUCAUGGCUCAGAUUGAACGCUGGCGGCAGGCCUAACACAUGCAAGUCGAGCGGUAGCACAGAGAGCUUGCUCUCGGGUGACGAGCGGCGGACGGGUGAGUAAUGUCUGGGAAACUGCCUGAUGGAGGGGGAUAACUACUGGAAACGGUAGCUAAUACCGCAUAAUGUCGCAAGACCAAAGUGGGGGACCUUCGGGCCUCAUGCCAUCAGAUGUGCCCAGAUGGGAUUAGCUAGUAGGUGGGGUAACGGCUCACCUAGGCGACGAUCCCUAGCUGGUCUGAGAGGAUGACCAGCCACACUGGAACUGAGACACGGUCCAGACUCCUACGGGAGGCAGCAGUGGGGAAUAUUGCACAAUGGGCGCAAGCCUGAUGCAGCCAUGCCGCGUGUGUGAAGAAGGCCUUCGGGUUGUAAAGCACUUUCAGCGGGGAGGAAGGCGGUGAGGUUAAUAACCUC
This 471-nucleotide ribosomal RNA is filed under the name Pseudomonas aeruginosa. RNAcentral describes it as "bacterial SSU rRNA". It matches the Rfam family "Bacterial small subunit ribosomal RNA", at positions 1 to 469 of the family's 1533-position model. RNAcentral also lists the same sequence under 4 other names. Lineage: Bacteria; Pseudomonadati; Pseudomonadota; Gammaproteobacteria; Pseudomonadales; Pseudomonadaceae. The record is from RNAcentral.